RNAcentral lists this ribosomal RNA (524 nucleotides) under Denticollis sp. UPOL RK0006. RNAcentral describes it as "partial 16S ribosomal RNA". The stretch from base 388 to 524 matches the Rfam family "Bacterial large subunit ribosomal RNA", at positions 2473 to 2610 of the family's 2925-position model. Lineage: Eukaryota; Metazoa; Arthropoda; Insecta; Coleoptera; Elateridae. The record is from RNAcentral.
CAUGUCUUUUUGAUUAUAAUUUAAAGUCUAAUCUGCUCAAUGAGGAUUUAAAUUGCCGCGGUAUUUUGACCGUGCAAAGGUAGCAUAAUAAUUAGUUUCUUUAUUGGAAGCUGGAAUGAAUGAUUGGACGAAAAAAUUACUGUCUCUAUUAAAUUUAUUUUUUAAUUUUACUUUUAAGUUAAAAGGCUUAAAUUUGUUUUAAAGACGAGAAGACCCCAUAGAGUUUUAUAUUAGUAUUAUUAAUUAGUUUUUGGUUAUUUAUUUUUUUUAUUAAUAUUAAUAUUUAGUUGGGGUGACUAAAAGAUUAAUUAAACUCUUUUAAUUUUUAAUCAUUGAUUAAUGAAUAAUAAGUCUAGAUUUUCUAAGUUUAAAGCAAAUUACCUUGGGGAUAACAGCGUAAUUUCUUUUUAGAGUUCUUAUUGAAAGAGAAGUUUGCGACCUCGAUGUUGGAUUAAAAUUAAUUUUUGGUGCAGAAGCUAAAAAAUUAGGUCUGUUCGACCUUUAAAAUUUUACAUGAUCUGAGU